RNAcentral lists this ribosomal RNA (966 nucleotides) under Limosilactobacillus vaginalis. RNAcentral's name for it is "bacterial SSU rRNA". It matches the Rfam family "Bacterial small subunit ribosomal RNA", at positions 8 to 929 of the family's 1533-position model. The record is from RNAcentral. Lineage: Bacteria; Bacillati; Bacillota; Bacilli; Lactobacillales; Lactobacillaceae.
AGAGUUUGAUCAUGGCUCAGGAUGAACGCCGGCGGUGUGCCUAAUACAUGCAAGUCGAGCGCACUGGCCCAACUGAUAUGACGUGCUUGCACUGAAUUGACGUUGGAUUACCAGUGAGCGGCGGACGGGUGAGUAACACGUGGGCAACCUGCCCUGAAGUGGGGGAUAACAUCUGGAAACAGGUGCUAAUACCGCAUAACAACGAAAACCACAUGGUUUUCGUUUCAAAGAUGGUUUCGGCUAUCACUUCAGGAUGGGCCCGCGGUGCAUUAGCUAGUUGGUAAGGUAACGGCUUACCAAGGCAAUGAUGCAUAGCCGAGUUGAGAGACUGAUCGGCCACAAUGGAACUGAGACACGGUCCAUACUCCUACGGGAGGCAGCAGUAGGGAAUCUUCCACAAUGGGCGCAAGCCUGAUGGAGCAACACCGCGUGAGUGAAGAAGGGUUUCGGCUCGUAAAGCUCUGUUGUUGGAGAAGAACGUGCGUGAGAGUAACUGUUCACGCAGUGACGGUAUCCAACCAGAAAGUCACGGCUAACUACGUGCCAGCAGCCGCGGUAAUACGUAGGUGGCAAGCGUUAUCCGGAUUUAUUGGGCGUAAAGCGAGCGCAGGCGGUUGCUUAGGUCUGAUGUGAAAGCCUUCGGCUUAACCGAAGAAGGGCAUCGGAAACCGGGCGACUUGAGUGCAGAAGAGGACAGUGGAACUCCAUGUGUAGCGGUGGAAUGCGUAGAUAUAUGGAAGAACACCAGUGGCGAAGGCGGCUGUCUGGUCUGCAACUGACGCUGAGGCUCGAAAGCAUGGGUAGCGAACAGGAUUAGAUACCCUGGUAGUCCAUGCCGUAAACGAUGAGUGCUAGGUGUUGGAGGGUUUCCGCCCUUCAGUGCCGGAGCUAACGCAUUAAGCACUCCGCCUGGGGAGUACGACCGCAAGGUUGAAACUCAAAGGAAUUGACGGGGGCCCGCACAAG